This 492-nucleotide ribosomal RNA is filed under the name uncultured bacterium. RNAcentral's name for it is "partial 16S ribosomal RNA". It matches the Rfam family "Bacterial small subunit ribosomal RNA", at positions 29 to 507 of the family's 1533-position model. The record is from RNAcentral.
AGUGAACGCUGGCGGUAGGCCUAACACAUGCAAGUCGAACGGCAGCACAGUAAGAGCUUGCUCUUACGGGUGGCGAGUGGCGGACGGGUGAGGAAUACAUCGGAAUCUACUUUUUCGUGGGGGAUAACGUAGGGAAACUUACGCUAAUACCGCAUACGACCUACGGGUGAAAGCAGGGGAUCUUCGGACCUUGCGCGAUUGAAUGAGCCGAUGUCGGAUUAGCUAGUUGGCGGGGUAAAGGCCCACCAAGGCGACGAUCCGUAGCUGGUCUGAGAGGAUGAACAGCCACACUGGAACUGAGACACGGUCCAGACUCCUACGGGAGGCAGCAGGGGGGAAUAUUGGACAAUGGGCGGAAGCCUGAUCCAGCCAUACCGGGUGGGUGAAGAAGGCCUUCGGGUUGUAAAGCCCUUUUGUUGGGAAAGAAAAGCAGCAGGUUAAUACCCCGCUGUUCUGACGGUACCCAAAGAAUAAGCACCGGCUAACUUCGUG